Small nucleolar RNA from Quercus robur (English oak), 84 nucleotides. RefSeq annotates it as small nucleolar RNA Z159/U59. The record is from RefSeq and is a predicted model, not a curated record. The transcript has a single exon. Lineage: Eukaryota; Viridiplantae; Streptophyta; Magnoliopsida; Fagales; Fagaceae.
GCCUCUAAUGAUGUGUACAAUAAAACUUUCGUUCUCCUGAGUUUGUUAAUGCUGAAAAUAUUUGGAGACCUGAACUGAAGAGUA